CCUAUCUCCCUGCUCAAGGCAGGAGACCCUCUACCAUUCCAGACAAGGGGCUGUCCAGUCUCUCUUUGAAGGCCUCCAGUGAUGGAGCCCCCACAACCUCUGGAGGGAAGCCGUUCCACUGGUCAAUUGUUCUCACUGUCAGGAAAUUCCUCCUUAGUUCUGGGAUGGCGGUUCUAACUCUUCAAGAAGUAGAGCAGAAUUUAUAAAAAGGUAGAAAACAUAUUAAAAAGAAAGAGAAGCUUAUAAAAAUACAUACAAAAAUCAAUGAAAAUUUUAAAAACCACACAAAAAUAUAUGUAUUAAAAUGUAAGAAGAGAGAGAGAGAGAGAGAAUCAGAGGUGGCAUUCAGCCGGUUCGCACCUGCUCAGGAGAAACCGGCAGCGAUAAUUUGGCGGGGAUCUCCGAACAGGUAGCGACUUCUGGCUGGCCACGCCCCCGAACCGGUUCCUGGUGGCAGCUCGCUCACUUGCCCCGCCCUACGCUCGCCCCGCCCAGUCACUCCUCACACUCCCCACAAUGGGUCCUCGUGGCUUAACCUGCUUUCCAACAUGAUGCCUGGCCCUACGUCCCAACUGAGCACCUCUGAUCUUCCUGCUGAAAGACCAGAGUCUCUCCAGGUUGCGUCUCUGGGCCCUGCUGUGCCUGAGCAAAGUGGGAAGUCUUCUCCUCCUUGGCUGUUUGGGGCUCAUUUUGAGGAUGAAAUCCAGAAAUCCAGAUGGAGGAGGGAGUCUGCUGGCCCAAUGCCUGCCAGCCUUCCUGAGGAGCCAGCCGCCAUGUCCUUCAUGGGCCAGAGCUUGCGACCAUCGGAGCUCCACCUCGGACCCUGAUGGAUGCCUCCCUCCUGGCGCUUCCCUUCCAGACAGCCAGGGUCUUCCUCGGCAGCAUUGAGAAGAGUCGCCUGCAGUGCACCUCAGCUGAUUCACCCUUUCUGGACCUAUGGAAAGUUUGGUAUUCUUCUACAAUAGAAAACAGGCUUUGUGGUGACUGGGAGCCGACUUCUGAGCUCAAAUCUCCAAUGGAGCAACUCGACUCUUCAAAGAGCUCCAGGAAACACUGCAGCUUCUGUUUCGAAUUUGGACAGAAUCAGGGUAAUGAAAUGUGUUGAAAUCUUCUCUUAAAACAAAUGAUGGGACAUUCAGAUUUGUUUAUUGCAGGCCGGAAGUCAUUUACACGCAAGAUAAAGUAUGAGUGGUGAGGUGGCCUAGAGGUGGAACUCUGGUCUCACAAUCAGGAGGCUGUGAGUUCUAUCUUAGGUGGAGGCAGAUGUUGCUCUCUCUGGGAACACUGAGAAUAUUAUCUGCCUGACAAAACUCCGCAUCGGUGACAGGAAGGGCAUCCGGCCAUUAAAACACUCUGCUAGAUCCAUUCAGUUGCCCAGAUUCCACCCCUCCAGGGAUUAUGAGGUCAUUAAAUGAAGAAUUACCUUUGCUCAAAACUGGAAACAAGAUGACACUCACUUGGACGUAAUGGUAAUAAGAAAGAUCUUUGAGUGUGCAGAGAUGGAUAGGUUAACUAUGGAGUUAAAAGACAGAGAAGAAACGGAAUGCUAUAAGAUCUGGAAUGGAUGGUGCCAGUGGUUAGAGAACAGACGUAAAGUUGUUACAGGAAGAAUAUGUAGGAGGUAUAGUAAAAGGAGGAAGUAUUGCAUAUAUAUUUGUAAAUAUUGUAAAUAUUGUUAUAAGUUAAAAGUAGGAAAAAACUAUAUAACAUAAUAGAGCAGUAAAAAUUAUAUCACUAUGAGUGAAUACCAUAACCUGAACGCUGUAAUGAGUGUAAAUGUGAUGUUUUAAUUUGAAAUACGACUAAUAAAAAUUUACUUUGUAAAAAAAAAAUCAAGAUGAGAUGAUACUAUGGCACCCUUGGUGCUCUCUGAGCUUGGUUGUUUUCUUGCAGUCAUUUCAUGUUGAUGUUACAUUACAUUAGGUAACAUCAGUGUAGAAGGGACUGGGUUUACUCUAUGUCUAUAAGUCACCCGCCCUGUCAGUGUUGGUGGGAGUGUGGUUUUCUUCUUGG
Long non-coding RNA from Naja naja (Indian cobra), 2013 nucleotides. NCBI's taxonomy places the organism in Eukaryota, Metazoa, Chordata, Lepidosauria, Squamata, Elapidae. The record is from Ensembl.